UACGUAGGUGGCAAGCGUUGUCCGGAUUUACUGGGCGUAAAGAGCGCGCAGGCGGUCGGAUAAGUCGAAUGUGAAAGCCCCCGGCUUAACUGGGGAGGGUCAUUCGAUACUGUUCGACUGGAAGGCAGGAGAGGGAAGCGGAAUUCCCGGCGUAGUGGUGAAAUGCGUAGAUAUCGGGAGGAACACCAGUGGCGAAGGCGGCUUCCUGGCCUGUUCUUGACGCUGAGGCGCGAAAGCUAGGGGAGCAAACGGG
Molecule: ribosomal RNA, 253 nt
Filed under: uncultured bacterium
Lineage: Bacteria
Description: partial 16S ribosomal RNA
Rfam family: Bacterial small subunit ribosomal RNA
Source: RNAcentral